RNAcentral lists this ribosomal RNA (1585 nucleotides) under Acanthocoris sordidus (winter cherry bug). RNAcentral describes it as "partial 16S rRNA". The record is from RNAcentral. Lineage: Eukaryota; Metazoa; Arthropoda; Insecta; Hemiptera; Coreidae.
UUAUUCUGAAUGUAAAUUUUAACCAUGGUAUUAAUAGUUAUGUUCUUUAAAUUAAAAGAAUUUGGCGGUAAUUUAGUCUUUUCAGAGGAACCUGUUCUAUAAUUGAUAAUCCACGUUGGAUUUUACUUUAAUUUUUGGUUUGUAUAUCUCUGUCAUUGAAUGUUUUAUUAGGAUAUUUUCUUUAAUUAUUAAUUUGGUUAAUGUCAGGUCAAGGUGCAGUUAUAUUAAAGGUUGAAAUGGGUUACAUUUAAGGUUUAUUUAUUGGUUAAAUAUCAGUUGUAAUAUUUAUUUAUUAAAAAGGAUUUGAAAGUAAUUUUUAUUAGUUUAUAAAAAUGAUUUUAGCUCUAAAUUAUGUACAUAUCGCCCGUCACUCUCAUUUAUAAGAUGGGAUAAGUCGUAACAAAGUAAUUCUAUUGGAAAAUGGAGUUGGAUUUAUGCAAGUUAGGUUCUAGGAAUGUUAUUAUUUACAAUAAUAAUUAGAUUGUGCAAUUCGAUCUAGCUUGAAUUUUAAAUUUUAUAUUACUUUUAUAUAUUUAGUUUAUUUUUUAUUUAAUCAGAAAUAUCUUUUUUUAUUGGUAAUUUUAUUGACCUUAUUAUUUUAUUAGUUAUAGCUUAUUUUACUGUGAAGGAUUUAUUUUUAUUUUAUUAAAAGCAUACUUUUUUUGUAUUACCUUUUGUAUCAGGGUUUAUCAAUUUUAUAUUAAUUAUUUAAUUUUCCCGAAAUUAAAAGAGAUAUAUUAUAAUGAUUUUUUAUGUUUCAUAAUAAUUUUUAAUUUUAAUAUAGGGGUUAUAUGCUAUUCAAUUUUAAAUAUCUGGUUUUCUAAUACAUUAAUUUAAUUAAGAUUAACAUUCAUAGGUUGAUAUAUAAAUUUAUUUUAUUCAAUUUUGUUAAUUAAGUUUAUAGGGGAUAAGCUCUAUUGAAUAUUUUAUAAUAAUAAUUUUAAUUUAAGGGUUAUUAGGCUUGAUAACAGCCAUUAUUUAUUUCGUUUCAGUUAAUUCUUAUUUAUUUUUUAUUUAUUUUUUAUUUAAGAUUUUAUUAGAAUUUUGUGUUUAUUAAUUUAUUACAAGUAAUAAUGAUAUAAUUAGUAGUUUAGUAAUUCUGAAUUUAGGAAUUCGGCAAUUUUAAUUUCCGCCUGUUUAACAAAAACAUGUCCUAUAGUUUUAUUUAUUUUAGGUCGGGCCUGCCCAGUGAUUAUUUUUAAACGGCCGCAGUAUUUUGACUGUGCGAAGGUAGCAUAAUCAUUUGUCUUUUAAUUGAAGGCUAGUAUGAAAGGUUUGACGAGAAAUUAACUUUCUUAAUUCAGAUUUUAUGAAUUUGAUUUUUUAGUUAAAAAGCUUAAAUUAUUUUGCUAGACGAGAAGACCCUGUAGAAUUUUAUUUAUUUAUUUUUUAUUUAUUUUUUGGGUAAUGUUUAUUUUUAUUUAUUGAUAAAUUUUGUUGGGGCGAUAUUGAAAUUUAUUCAACUUUCAUUUAUUUUAUUUCAUUAAUUAGUGUAUUUUUUGAUCCUCAUUUUGUGAUUGACAGAUUAAAUUACCUCAGGGAUAACAGCGUAAUUUUCUUGGAGAGUUCUUAUCGAUAAGGGAGU